GUCAAUUUGCUCAAUGAAUUUUUUUUUAAUAGCUGCAGUAUACUUGACUGUACAAAGGUAGCAUAAUAAAUUGUCUUUUAAUUGAAGAAUAGAAUGAAAGAAUUAAUGAAAUAUAUUCUGUCUCUAAUAUANUAAAUAAAUUUAAAUUUUUAGUUAAAAUGCUAAAAUUAAAUUAUGGGACGAUAAGACCCUCUAGAAUUUUCUAUUAUUGUUAAAUUUUAAAAUUUAAUGAUUUUUUAAUUUAUUAAUAAUCUUUAAUUGGGAGGAUUAAUAAAUUUAAUUAACUUUAUUAAAAUUAUAACUUUGAUUUAAGAAAAUUAAAAUUGAUAUAAAUUUAUAUUAAUAAAUAAAAUAAAUUACCUUAGGGAUAACAGCGUAAUAUCUUUUAUUAGAACUUAUUAAUAAAGAUGUUUGCGACCUCGAUGUUGAAUUAAGAUAAAUUUUAAAUGAAGAAAUUUAAUUAUUAAGUCUGUUCGACUUUUAAAAUCAUACAUGAUUUGAGUUC
This 505-nucleotide ribosomal RNA is filed under the name Eulaema polyzona. RNAcentral describes it as "partial 16S ribosomal RNA". The stretch from base 367 to 505 matches the Rfam family "Archaeal large subunit ribosomal RNA", at positions 2542 to 2681 of the family's 2987-position model. Lineage: Eukaryota; Metazoa; Arthropoda; Insecta; Hymenoptera; Apidae. The record is from RNAcentral.